AUUGAACGCUGGCGGCAUGCCUUACACAUGCAAGUCGAACGGUAACAGGUCUUCGGAUGCUGACGAGUGGCGAACGGGUGAGUAAUACGUCGGAACGUGCCUAGUAGUGGGGGAUAACUACUCGAAAGAGUGGCUAAUACCGCAUGAGAUCUACGGAUGAAAGCAGGGGAUCGCAAGACCUUGUGCUACUAGAGCGGCCGAUGGCAGAUUAGGAAGUUGGUGGGAUAAAAGCUUACCAAGCCGACGAUCUGUAGCUGGUCUGAGAGGACGAUCGUCCACACUGGGCGUGAGACACGGCCCAGACGCCUACGGGAGGCAGCAGUGGGGAAUUUUGGACAAUGGGCGCAAGCCUGAUCCAGCAAUGCCGCGUGCAGGAUGAAGGCCUUCGGGUUGUAAACCGCUUUUGUACGGAACGAAAAGCCCCGGGUUAAUACCCUGGGGUCAUGACGGUACCGUAAGAAUAAGCACCGGCUAACUACGUGCCAGCCGCCGCCGUAA
This 498-nucleotide ribosomal RNA is filed under the name uncultured bacterium. Its description in RNAcentral is "partial 16S ribosomal RNA". It matches the Rfam family "Bacterial small subunit ribosomal RNA", at positions 30 to 523 of the family's 1533-position model. The record is from RNAcentral.